This is a long non-coding RNA of Passer domesticus (house sparrow), 7236 nucleotides long. RefSeq lists it as uncharacterized. Lineage: Eukaryota; Metazoa; Chordata; Aves; Passeriformes; Passeridae. The transcript is spliced from 6 exons. The record is from RefSeq and is a predicted model, not a curated record.
GCCAGACUCCUGUUCCUUCAGCAUGCACAGCCAGCUCUGAGGCUGCUGCCGCCCAUCCCCUUCCAGCGCGGACGUUGUACAACGCUGUUCCACUGUGUCAGUGAAGAAUUUGCAUUCAGGAGAAACAGUGGACCACCACCCAUCCUGUGACAACUUAUGCACUGGAAGUCUGAUGUCAUGCUCCUGGUCAUUGCCCUCAAGAAGGCAUCCCAGUCUCUCCCACCAUUCUUUGCCAACACACUCUGAGGCAAGUUCUAAUGGCUCAGACAUCACUGUGACUUGUUCCUCCAGUACUUCUUGAUCUUGCAAGAAGAUGAGCAGGAAGCCCAUCCUGCACCAGACAGCUAGAAUGUUCUGAACCACAUUUUCAGAACAGAAGUGAGUGACAAGUCCCAUUUGUUUUCAUUUAACACAGCAGGUCAGUCAAAAUCACACAUAAAAUACCAUUAUGAACUAAGACAAGUAAUAAUCCAUAUUUGUCAAGCAUAAGAGGAAAACCAGUUUAAGCACUCCCUGUUUAACAAAUCCCUCCCACUAAAUUCUACCUUCUCACAAAUCUCAGGUCUAUAAAAAACCCUUGCAAAAAUGUUGGGAAUUAGUGCAGCUAAGCAAAGCAAUAGUCAUGAGCUCUUUGCUUAAGAAUGACCUGUCCUAAGCCUAUAGCAAAGCAUAUCCAGGAAGCAUUUGCUUCUGAAACCCAGUUUAUCUCAGCUGCUGGGUAAAACCACAGGGACCAGCUUUCGAGAUACUUGCGGCAAGGCCAAAAUUAUAAAAUAACUCAGAUCCAAGCUUGAACUACACCUGGAUAAAAGUGGGAACUAGCAGUGUUUACAGAGCUGUGUGCUCCUUGAACACACAAGUACAGAAACUAAACUUGAUAAUUUAGGCUUUAAAUGGACAGAGGGACUUUAACACCUGAGAUGCCCUCCAAACCAGCUCAUCUACCCCAGAGCCUGAGCAGCUCAGACCAGGAUACAAGAUACGUGAAUGUAUCUUUAGUGUAUGACUGUAUGUCUUUAGUGAAUGCACAGAAUAAGCCUCUUUUUUUGUCCUCUCCAGUAUUUUAUUCAAGCUAACGUCUAAUUAGAACUGCGAUUUUGGUGUGCUCUUUGCUGCUGCUAUGACAAUUCCUAAAAGCAUUCUGUGAACAUCAAUUGUGUGAUAGUUCUGCAGAGAGCUCUGCAGCUACUGAAGGAGAAGAGAGGGACAACAUGAGCUCUGUUUUAUUAUUGCACAGUACAGAUAAUGAUACACUAACCAUAUCAAAAGGAGCUUUGUAAUUAUUGGCUCAGGAGCUCUUGUGGUUAUUUUACAUUUAACCCACAUACCAAUUUGGUGUGUGCUGGCACAUGGUGGCCAUAUGGAGGGCAGAAAGCAUUACUGCCUACCACAGGAGAACAUAAUCUGGAGAGCGGAGGCAUUUCCAUGUGCUGAACAAAGUUCCACCCACAUCAUAAAUCGGUCAUUCUGCCACAUCAUAAGCUGCAGGGGGAAAAAAAAAUCACAUAAAUCUUUACAGAGACUCUACAAGACUUCAGUCAGAGACUGUCUUCUGUGCAGCCCAUGAAUGCACAGCUGACGCUUUAUAAUAACAAGCAAUAGUCAUAUAUCUGCUACCAAUGCAUUUUGUCACGUAAUACUGCUAUAUAUUUUUGGAGCAGUGUUGAAAAGCACACAGACUACUUCCCUCCUAUGAAAAAUGUUAAUUAGACAAAUUAUCACCUGAUUAAUAUGGGCAAAAAAACCCAUGGAAAUUUAUGAUGAAGAUCCAGGGUGACUAUUUCUAAUCACAUCUUUUCACAUAUUGUCUUUGGGAAUCAAAGUUUUAAAAUGGCUGAAGAAAUUUUAUAUACAUAUAUUUUAUAUAAUACAAAAAUUUGUGUUGAUUUUUAUAUAUUAUUGCACAUAAAAAUAUUUCUCUGGAUGAAACACCCUUGCCUGUCCACCUCCAUAAAUAUGUAUUUAUUUAUGUAUGUGUGUAUGCUCCUCUGGUGCUGUGUUUGUUGGGAAGGGGUGCUGUAGAACUUUCGUUCAGGUCCUACAUGUUUACUAAUAUUUUGGGCAAGUUUUAUUAUUCCUUUUCCGAAUAGAAACUGAAAAGAAGACCAAAAAAAUUAAUUUGAAACUAAAUUAUAAUCUGUCUUGCUGGUCCUGUACUGCAGUAUAGGAUAAACAGCAAGGGAACUUAAACACAUGGAAGAGGGGAUUUUGUUUGCAUUGCCUAGACAAAUAUUUUUUAGUAGUAUAAAAAUAGGUGGAACAGGAAGAUAGGCAGGACCAAUGUAGAAGAAAAGCAUGUUUGUGCCCAAUUCACCGGAGAGAUUGUCAAAGAACAUUUUAUCAUAAUGAAAAUAUUACCCUUGGAAUGCCAGCAUGAGCAAUGUCAAUUCAAUUUGCCUGCUCUUUUUGCUUCUAGUCACCAAAGUUAGACUUGUCCUAGAGUUAUUGUGACUAGAUGAUUUUUUUUUUUAUUUCAGAAAAUGUUCUCUUUCAUUCACGAAUCAAUAGCUCUUUGCUAGUCCUGGCUUUGCUGCUUGUACUUCUCUGUCAGCCCUUGCUAAGGGCUGUUGCUAAGGGCCAGAGGAAGUGUCUUGUUGAAUUCUGCUGAGAAAUUGGGGAGGAAAAGCACAUUUCUGUGAGGUGCAAAUGAAGCACUUAGCCCACUGCUGUCCUGCAACAUAGGAAAUAUGAUUCUAGCUGGAACAAGCUGCUCAUGAUUAGGAUCCCCCUGUGUUUCAGAAUUUUGACAGGCUAUUCCUAAUCUCAUAAAAUUAGAAGUGUGCCUUGGUGGGAUCUAAAGAGCAAUAUUUUUCUUAGAGUAAGGGACUCCAAGAAACCUGUUUCAAAAGGAAACUUUUAUAAAGGUGGCUUCCUUCACUUGAUGAAAUUAACAUAAAUUUUUCUGUGGAUUUCAAAGAGAAAAAAAAAAACCUUUAGUCAAAGAGUUUCUAGUGCCUUUAUUUGAAAGCAGCUGGGUGGGGCAUAUAUAAAUUUUCUAAAAGUUUUAUAGAUAACAAACUAAUAAGCCUAGUGAAAUUCUUCAUUUAAUGAUACGGAAUUUAGCUAGAGGGAACAGAAACAUCCAGACCGAUGAAAUAUGCCUCAUUUACUUUCUGAUGUAUUUAAUUUUAAAUAAAUAUUCAGAAUAUUUAUUUUAAUACAUUUCAUGAUGUCUUGUACAGCAAGCUUUGACAAAAUCACAUCGUUUUCAAAAAGUGAUACACUCAUAUCGUGACUUGCUGUGCCUAGCAAGUCCUGCACAGCAACUACACCACUCUUUCAAGUGACUCUAUUAAUAUCUGAUGACUGCAUCAAUUAGUAGUUUUACUGCAGAGUUACCCUCCAGCCUGGAAGAAAUGCAAUUCUUUGGGAAAUUGCAUGCAGGGGAACCUGCACUAUCCAGGUUUUUCAGGCACGUGAGCUUGGGAUCUAAGAGCCUGCUCCAUCGAGGUCACAUGAGCAUUGAUAAAGAGCCACAGUCAGGGUUGUGUGAUCAACAUGAACAAGAAUACACAAUCCAGUUGCGUCAGGCAAGCCCAUGUGGUUGCAUCUCUUCCACCCUACCCAAAGGCUGAAGGUUUUUAGUGUCUGCCUGCUGCCUGCAGGUUACAGUGCUAAUGAGGCUGUCUUGUGUCCUCUGAACAAUCUGUGCUGGAGUUGGAAUAUGUUUCCUGUCGUUCAUCAGAAGAACUGGCAAGCAAGCAAGGCUGACAGAUGUAGUUCAGACUUGUGAGGAUUUCCUGUUGCAAAAGUUUGGCAUUCACUGACAUUUCCUGGUGGUGUAGAAAAGCCAGAAGAGUAAUGGGUUGUUGUAAUGGUUUGGCCUGAAGAUUCUUCCUGUGGACCUAAGUGGAUGGUGAUUUGAAUUAUAUGUCCUGCAAGAUCUGGACGGAACAAGGAUACCUUCCCUGCUUUAGAAUAAGGAAGAAGUGAAAGAGGGAACCUUUGAACUGUAUUCUUCAGAAAUUCCCAGGAGGUGUGAUGAGUGCACUUCUUCCAAGACUGCUAAUGAAAAGCCACAGUGUUCUGGAGGAGGUACAGAUGGCUUCUGAAGGAUGGUUGUAUGAUGCUUCAUUCAGUGGGAUUCCGACUCAUCAUACCCAGCCUGCUACCUCAGAGACAGGAGCUGAUGUUUCAAAUGUGAUCGUGGAGCUGAGUACCUUCUGGAGCAGUCACGCUGCAUCUUGGAUGAAAACCAAUGCUGCUGAGCGUUCAGCACUGCGACAGUCUCCAAGGGAGCUGGAAAUGUAUGACCCAGGAAGACCCACAGCUCCAGAAUUCACCGGGAAGCAUAGCAUCUCUUUCAUCCCAAGCUAGCUAAAACCUUUUCAUUAGAGCUGGUUUUUCCUAAUCAAGUACCUCUGUGUCAAAAGAUUGUUUGAGAAUUUGUGAUUUAUGUGUUUAAAGAGACUGAAGAAAGGGGCCUUCUGCUAAACUUCUGUUUCUUUACCCUGCAUAACCAUGCCUUCCCAAAUUUAUGCUUUGAUGUAGAUAAUAGAAAUUAAAUAAAAGUGGUAGAGAUGUUAUAAUUUUUAAUGUUCACUGGAUAUUAUUUUUAUGCUUGUUCCUGUGCUCAAGACCCAAAAAGUUAAGGAAAAACUAAAAAAAAAAAAGAAGGGAUUUGCCAGGCAAAUGGUAUGGAGGAGGAUAAGAAAAACUGUCGCACAACACAACUGUCACAUAUGUUUUUUCCACCACCCUCUAUCUUCUUUGGUUGUUCAGUAUGUAAGAAUAGUUUUCAUUUCCCAAAUGGUUACAGAACCUCCCUACAAGACUAGUAUCUGCAAAUGAUGUUACUUUCAUCCAGAGAAAAUGUGUGUGCAGGCUGGAUGGGGUUAUGUUUUUUAAUGUUCUUUGCACUCUCAACUAGUGUGCAGCUGCAAGUUGCAUUACCAGCAUUUAUUCAUUAAAUUUUGCCACACGAAUUCCUUUCUCAGCCUUGCUCACCAGUAGAGAUUUGCUAGGAGCUUGAGGUUGGGUAUCAGGACAAGGUUCUGCAGAGGGUGGUUGGGCAGUGGAACAGGCUCCCCGUGGAAAUGGUCACCAGCCGGUCAACCCAGCCUGACGAAGUUCAAGAAGCAUUAGGGCAAUGCUCUCAGACCAGUGGUGUGAUUCAUGGGAUGUCCUGUCCAGGACCAGGAGUUGUACUCCAUGAUCUUUGUGGGUCCCUUCCAACUCGGGGUGUUCAAUGAUUCUGUAAGAAAAUGUAGCACUCAAACACUGAGACCACAGGAGAAAUGGCACUGAUGGUGCAUGCCUGCACAGCUUUCACCACAGGAAUACCCUAUGCCAGUGCUUUCCCAUCACUGUGAAAGCAACUGGUUUAUAUUGAACUGCCAAUGGAAUGUAGGGCAGAUGGAAGUAGUAGAUAACUUCAUGAUGAUCCCAGCCAUUUCUGCAAGUAACAUUUGAUUACAGCCUGCCUGCAUAGCUCUUAUUCCCGUUAUUUACCUUCUUUUCCCAUUGCAGCCAGAAGAUAGUUAAGUGCCUUUUUAGGGCAGGUUUGAAUUCAGUGAGACUAUUUACACAAGCAGCUGUUGGCCAGUUUGAGCUGUAUGACCUUGGUUCCCAUUUCUAGGACACACUGCUCAAGACACUCGGGCCUGUUACGUCAGUAACCUCUUGAUUGCUCCUUCUCAGUCCUGGUCCUGCAGACUCGGCUGACAAACUUCAGCACAAUCCCCACUGAAAUUUUUAUAAACGGAAUAAAUGGUGGCUUGUGAAUGGAUGGUAGAGAAUUUGGUUGUUUAUUUAUCUCUGGCUGAUUUCCUUCUAUCAGAGAUUUCUACUGCUCUAAAAAUGAAAGGUUAAAUGCCUUCAAGUCUUUGUCCUAGAUAUUGCCAUGCCACUGUGUUUGAACUCAACAGAGAAUCAUAUGGGUAUGCCUUUGUAAAUGCCAUUCCUAUAAUUUUCCCUUGCAUGAUUGUUUUCUGAAAGACUGAAAAGUAAAGCUUGGUGGGAAUUUUCCCACAGUGUAUUUGUUUGUAUGCAAAAAUGCUGACUUGAUGAAAUGGAACCUUUCUGUGGAAAAUAUUUGUUCCAGCAAGAAGGCUUCUCAGAUUCAGAAGUGAAUUUCUGGAAGGAAAAAAAAAAAAAAGAGAGAGAGAAGGAAAAACUUUCCAUUCUUUUCCUCAAAGUAGAUGGCUGCUUAGUGCUCAGGCGUUCCCUGGAGGAAAUGGGCAAGAGAGGUUCAAACCCCACCUAUUCAGUGUGUUAAUCUCUUUCUGGGCCAGCUAUGCAAUGUUGAACAUCGUCAAACUGGGAAAAAGGGAGUAUUCUUACUGACUUAUGUCUUUUUAUGCCUGUUUGGCUUUUUUUUUUUUUUUUUCAGAAAGGUUCUAAUUUUAUUUUAAUGCUCAACAAAAGCAUAUUUUGGAAUGACCAUUGUUUUCCAAAAUACUAAAGUUUUGCAGAUAGUGUUACACUAACCCCGCAGUGAUCGCCUUGCAGAUCCAUUUAUAAAUUCUUUAAAAUGUGGAUGACAGAGUCACUCCAUUUGGGAUCUAUAAUGUAAAUGGAGCCCUUCUGACUCUUUGUAGGUUUUUUAGGAGACAUUCAGGGUUUGAUUCUGCACAUUUCUAACAUAUAAGCUGUUAUGAGCUUUAGCUACUUAACUAAUGGAGUUAUUCAUACACUUGAUGCCAGCACAUUAUGAAUUGAUAACACUUUUAUUAAAGUCAAUCGAAAGACUUCUACUGGCCUCAAAGGAAAGUUCAUUACAUUAUGUCCUUGUAUCUUCAAGUUUUAUUUUGAUGCUUGAUCUUGUUUUAUUUUAGAAAUGUUCAGGCUCUAUUAAAACUAUAUUUAUAUCAGUUAUGCAUCUCUACAGUUUCAGAAAGAAGUAUCUACUUUGUCUAUUCUUUAGGGAGAGAAUAGGAAUUCAGGAAACCUGGAUUCUUCUCUGACUUACUGCUGACUUAGACUAUCUAUCAUUAUUUAUUAACUUUAACAAUUAUUUUAUUAUUUCAAUAUGCAAGGAAAUUUAAGCACUAGGAAAUAAAACAUUCAGUAAAAUAUUGCAUUAUAAUACUCAUAACCUUAAUUUACUCAAUGGCAAUUUCACAAUUAGGACAUUAUAAUGCAGUCUUAAUGCACAUUUAUUAUAGUAAUGAAGACCAGAAUUACACAGAUAUAACACAAAUCAUAUUUAAUCAAGAGCAAUCUCAGAUAAUAACCAACUAAGAAUUAGAAUUAUAUGGCACUGAGUUUCUUUGUAUCAUUUUUCUUCUAUCAAUA